CUGCCACUGUAAUUUUUUUUCCUAAUCACUCAUAGGUUACAAGUACCUACCCUGGUCCAGUGAACUGCGGGAUUCAUAUGUGGCCAGAGUUCUGGCUUCAUACCUGAGCCAAAAGCCCCAAUCCAUGCUUGGCCAUUGCCUGAGUAUUAGCUGCCCCAGGGGGAUCACGGUCCCCAUAUAUUUGCUUGCCAUGGACCCUGGGCAGCAGGGAGAGAGUAGAGAUUUGUCAA
RNAcentral lists this long non-coding RNA (230 nucleotides) under Homo sapiens (human). RNAcentral's name for it is "non-protein coding lnc-ASIP-1:1". Lineage: Eukaryota; Metazoa; Chordata; Mammalia; Primates; Hominidae. The record is from RNAcentral.